RNAcentral lists this ribosomal RNA (450 nucleotides) under uncultured Glomus. RNAcentral's name for it is "SSU rRNA". It matches the Rfam family "Eukaryotic small subunit ribosomal RNA", at positions 569 to 1026 of the family's 1831-position model. Lineage: Eukaryota; Fungi; Glomeromycota; Glomeromycetes; Glomerales; Glomeraceae. The record is from RNAcentral.
AGCAGCCGCGGUAAUUCCAGCUCCAAUAGCGUAUAUUAAAGUUGCUGCAGUUAAAAAGCUCGUAGUUGAAUUUCGGGACCGAUAUAUCGGUCGUGCCUCGGUACGUACUGGUAUUUUCGGUUUCUCCCUUCUGACGAACCUUGAUGUCAUUAAUUUGGUGUCUUGGGGAAUCAGGACCGUUACUUUGAAAAAUUAGAGUGUUUAAAGCAGGCUCACGCUUGAAUACAUUAGCAUGGAAUAAUGAAAUAGGACGUUUGAUUCUAUUUUGUUGGUUUCUAGGAUCGACGUAAUGAUUAAUAGGGAUAGUUGGGGGCAUUAGUAUUCAAUUGUCAGAGUGAAAUUCUUGGAUUUAUUGAAGACUAACUACUGCGAAAGCAUUUGCCAAGGAUGUUUUCAUUAAUCAAGAACGAAAGUUAGGGGAUCGAAGACGAUCAGAUACCGUCGUAGUCC